Molecule: ribosomal RNA, 305 nt
Filed under: uncultured bacterium
Lineage: Bacteria
Description: bacterial SSU rRNA
Rfam family: Bacterial small subunit ribosomal RNA
Source: RNAcentral
ACCUCCUACGGGGGGCAGCAGUGGGGAAUAUUGGGCAAUGGGCGCAAGCCUGACCCAGCAACGCCGCGUGAAGGAAGAAGGCUUUCGGGUUGUAAACUUCUUUUGUCAGGGACGAAGCAAGUGACGGUACCUGACGAAUAAGCCACGGCUAACUACGUGCCAGCAGCCGCGGUAAUACGUAGGUGGCAAGCGUUAUCCGGAUUUAUUGGGUGUAAAGGGCGUGUAGGCGGGAAUGCAAGUCAGAUGUGAAAUCCACGGGCUCAACCCGUGAACUGCAUUUGAAACUGUUUCCCUUGAGUGUCGGG